RNAcentral lists this long non-coding RNA (186 nucleotides) under Canis lupus familiaris (dog). RNAcentral's name for it is "lncRNA (ENSCAFG00030005762.1)". The record is from RNAcentral. Lineage: Eukaryota; Metazoa; Chordata; Mammalia; Carnivora; Canidae.
CCUGUGACAAUUAGCUUUGUAUGCUAGGCUGGGAAAGCCUUCAGUGAAAGAGGGAGUUGUCGCGUGGGAAGUCUUUGUGUGUGGCUUCCAGGCCGUCGGUGCGGAGAGGAGUUCCCUGUUGCAUCUGAGUCGGGUCCAGAAUUUUGACAACGGCUCACUCGGCAGAGGAAGAUAACUACCGACACG